UUGCUUCAACAGCAUAAAUACUAAAAUUGGAACAAGACAAGAUUAGCAUGGCUUCUGUGCAAGAAAGACAUGCAAAAUCAUGAAGAAUGCCAUCUUUUC
This is a small nuclear RNA of Monodelphis domestica (gray short-tailed opossum), 99 nucleotides long. Lineage: Eukaryota; Metazoa; Chordata; Mammalia; Didelphimorphia; Didelphidae. The record is from Ensembl.